ACUCGUCGCCGUUUCAUCUUGGAUCUCAUCUCCAAUCUCCUCUCCGAUAUUAUCUUCAAGGUCGAGCUACCCUCGUUGGUUCGAUCUUUCGUACUGGAGAUCGAAAGACCCCUCGAUUUCAGGUCUUAUGCGGGGACUGGAAACCCUAGCAGUCGUUUUGUUUUUGGGCCGAGAAGUCUGCAAAACCCUAUCUCAGUUCAACUGGUUGCUUAGAGAUUAUCUAAAGGCUCAAUGCUGAGGUUUUGUAGCUCUUCUUCUGAAGUUUAAUUACCUCGCAAAUUUCCCAUUCUCUCUUCGCCCCUAAAUAUUCAUUUUGUGAUUUUGAGCCCCAAAGCUCUUUCAGUUGAUGUUUUAAACAAGAUAUUCACAAUGCUUGUGUUUGUCUAAUUCAGGUGUUGCUUUAGUUAUGAAAAUUUUAGCUUUGUACCUUAAUUGGCAUGUUAUAGCUUUUAUAUCGAUCUGAUGACUGAUUUAAUGUUGAUGUUAUACGCCAUAGCAGCAGCACAAUUAUAGCUUCUUCACGUUUGAUAUUUUCAACUUUACACAUAAGUCUCUCUAUUCAUUCCAUAACUUACCUAUUUGAUGUAUUCCACCGCCUCAAACAAGUCUCUGGUUUUCGUUACUGCUAUUAUCUAUUGUUAGGUUAGCGGUUUAUUUAUUUAUUUAAUACUUACGUGCAUUUAAUAUUAUUUGGAUGUCCAAAGGAAAAUAUAGCUCGAUAAAUGUAGCAUCUCUCUAUUAGGUCCUAUCAGAAUAAAUCAAUCCUUCAUUUAUAUUCUAAAUACUAGAUUAUUAGUGUUUAUUUAAUAGAGGUAUUACAUUCUCACCCCCUUAAAUAAAUUUUGACCUCAAAAUUUACAUACCUUGCACUUCAAACAGAUGGGGAUAUCUUUCUUUCAUUUCCUCUUCACGUUCCCAAGUCGCUUCUUCAUGAGAAUGGUGCUCCCAAAAAACCUUUACUAGGGAGACAACCUUGAAAUGUAGUAUCUUUUCCUUUCGAUCCAAAAUUUGAACUAGUUCAAUAUAUGUCAGAUCUUCCCCAAAUUCAAGUGGUUCAUAUUAUAGGAUAUGUGAUGGAAAUGAGAGACAAUAUGUGUAUUAUGUAGUGCAAGGUUACAGCAAGAGUAUUGUGUUUUAAAAAAAUCAGAUUCAGAUCAUUCUAUACUAUAUGUUAAGGAAAGCCUCAUUCUUGGUCUUUGUGAGCCACAUUUUUAGAAUUUCAUAAAUGCCUUCACACUUGAAAAUUUGAACUGCAGAUGAUCUUACACUUGAAUAAAUCAGCUAAAAUGUCCUCAACUUGCAAAAUCAAAGGUAGCGAUCUCUCAUUUGAAACAAAUCGUAGAAAUGCCCUAAGACUUAAACAAUUAUAAAGAACUCAACAAAAAUGCUUUAAAACCAUCUAUUUUCUUGACAAUUCAACUACAACAAUUCUCCAAGUUUGGCGUCAUCCACGCAUCACGUGUACCGGAGUACUAGUCCUUAAAUCAAAAGCAGGGAAUGAAGUAUCAACUUUGACAGCUCAGAGGUCAAAUUUUACAGUCAGGAAUGAAUACAGAGGUCCUCAUUUUUCAUGAUGGCUUAUGAUGAUGCUGAGGUCAAUUAAGUAACCUGCCCUGCUUUAAGGCCAUCUGCAACCCCUGACGAUGCUAUCUUUAGCUUGUGGGACAAAAAUGGGGUUAUUUUUCUCACUUCCUUCUCAUUUUUAAAUCACUGAAGUUAAUUGGAUACAG
Molecule: long non-coding RNA, 1730 nt
Organism: Asparagus officinalis (garden asparagus)
Lineage: Eukaryota; Viridiplantae; Streptophyta; Magnoliopsida; Asparagales; Asparagaceae
Exons: 3
Source: RefSeq, a predicted model, not a curated record